RNAcentral lists this long non-coding RNA (31471 nucleotides) under Malus domestica (apple). RNAcentral describes it as "long non-coding RNA (MDOM_LNC007859)". Lineage: Eukaryota; Viridiplantae; Streptophyta; Magnoliopsida; Rosales; Rosaceae. The record is from RNAcentral.
CAGGAUACAAGUAUAUAUCACACACAAACAGAUUGCAUGGCUGAACUAGUACUCUCUAUGAUUUCAUGGAAUGGGAUACACAACCACCUUUCCGGUAGCUCUGGAGGUUUCAAGAUAGGCAAAUGCUUCAACAUUCUUCGAAAAUGGAUACGGCCCGGUGGGAUCAAGCACCGGCCUCACCUUCCCACUCUCCAAGUAAGGCUUCAGUUUCUCUAAUACAGUUCCGGUUGAAGUCAGCAUAAAUAGGAAUGCCGGUGGCGCUACUGGACGUACAAUUGUCAGUACCUUCCCGCCUGCCUUCACCAUCUUCACUGCCCUGUCAGUCUCCCCUAUUUUUGUUAAUUUCAGAAACACAAAACAACAUCAGUCCUCGUGUUUGAUUAAUUCCUGAUAAAUAAAUAAAAAAUGUUGUAACCUUGAUGUAUUUUAUUUGGUUGGAUAGCAUCAUGCAUUGAAUUGUUUAAGCUUAAUUUAUGUAAGAAAGAACCAACAAUGAAGAUUCAAGAAUCAUCCCAACUGCGCCAUAAACCACAUCGAAUUCCUCGGGCAGGUCUACGAAGUUUGUUGGGGACAACACAUGUAAACAAAUUACUUAUAUUACACACACAAAAUAUUACAACACACUCUCAAGGACACACUUUAGAAGCUACGACACUUACUCACUCAAGAGACACACUCUAGACCACUCACACUCUUCACAAGACUACUCUUGCUUCUUGGCUACCUUCUAGUUCUUUCUACAAACUAGAACUAGUUUCUAGCUUCUAAUAUAUUCUACAAAUCUCUAACUUAGAUAAUUCUAGACUAGCCACCCUACUUUGCAUGCUAGAAUCUUCUAGAACAAUUCAAUGCAUGUUUGAACUAGAACAAUCUAGUUCCCUUAUACCGACUAAGCUUAAUGGGCUGGUGUUGAUCUUUAACACUCCCCCCUCAACACCAGCUCAUUCUUUUCUUCUCGCUAAGUCGACACUUUAUCUUGAACACCCAUUUACAUGAGAUGGGUUUUACUUCUCUUGGCCUUGACACUUAAUCCCAAGUUUGAUAUUUCUUUAACGCAUCGACCUUUUCUGACACCGGAUAAUGGAGAUCAAAGAGAAACCACAAGUGAACACUCAAAGAUAAACAACUCACCACUCUAAGGAAUCCACCAAAGAGAUAAGAGUUUAAGGAUAGGAAGAAAAACACUCUUCACUAAACCAAGUUUAAAAGGUUAAGGAUAGGAAGAAAAACACUCUUCACUAAACCAAGUUUAAAAGUAAUUCUUAAUUUCUGAAUGAUUUAUUUCCAUACAUGAGUAGGGAUUUUUAAUAGUCUAGGCAUGGAACAACCUUCGACCUUCCAUGAAUAGGUUACUAAGCAUGAACUUAAUGUAAGACUAAUCAUGAACUUAAAUGAGAACAUGAACCAUCUUUGAAUUAAAUACGAUGAAUGCACCAUGUAAUAAUUAGAUGAGUCCAAGUUCGGCGUCAUUUUCUCCUAGCUUUAUGCCAUUCAGAAUUCUGUAAUGCUUCUUUACGCAUUGCUUCAACUGCUUCUUCUACUAUGGUUGUGUUGGCGUAUAUGGGAUUUGGCUUCAGUAUUCUCAUUGACCUCCUUAGUUCUGAUUGUGGAGUUGAUACUUCCACUUCAAUAGGUCUAACUUCUCUUGGUGGUUGAUACACACUAGUUUGCCAAUGACCCUUAGGCACUUCUUGCUCGACAUCGUCUCUAGCAAGCAAAUCUUCAGGCUCAUUUGGACUCAAUUGGACUUGGGUAGCUUGGUCUCCCAUUUUCUCCUGCAACAUAUCUUCAAUCUCUUUCGAGUCGGAAAAUGCUUCAUUUUCUGAGCACCAACAAGAUGAUGCUUCUGUGUCCCAUUCUUCCUUCAUAGCUAGAUACGCUACGGUGUCCCAAUCAUCUUCAUUUUCCUCCUUUGAGCUGGCGACAUUACUUUCUGUGGGCUUUUUGAACCAGGAAUCCUUCGCUAUAUGGCCCUUCUUUCCAUAAUUGUAACAUUUGCCCUCAAACCUUUUAUUAUUUUGGGACUGACCACGGUUGUCGUGAUAUUUCGGAGCUACCCCUGGCCGAGAACACCCUUUUCCUUGAUGACCUUUCGCCUUGUCACCAUUUGUUUUAGAUUCUCCAUCAUCACGCUGCUUAAAGCUACCUUUACUUUUGGUGUAGAGCGUUUCCUCCUCACCUUUUAACAAGACCUCUCCCAUUUGCUUUGCCAAAGCUUCUUGAUUGGCAAGCAAAUUCUCAAACUCAACAAGUGAUGGUUGGGUAGGCCAUCCUUGUACAGCGGCAACGAAGCCUCGAUAUUCGGGUCUCAAUCCAUGGAUAAUUAUUCUUUUUAUCCUGAAUUCUACAAUGGCAGCAUUAGGAUCUAACUCAGAAAUUUCACGGCAAAUAGACUUUACCUUGUGGAAAUAUUCGGCAAUCGUCAUGUCUCGUUGGGCCACCGAUAACAACUCGUUCUCAAGAAUCUGCAGUCUUGUAUCAUUCCUCUUUGAAAAGAGUGUGGUGAAGGUGUCCCACCCUUCUUUCGGUGUCUUGGCCUUUCCGUAUGUGCUCCAACAUGUCCUAUUCAAUUGUCGUUUUUAAGGUGAACAUUGCAUUACCUGGCUUGAUCUUCCAUUUCGACAAAGUGCCGCUAGAGUCUUCUUCCGACUGUGUGAUCUCAUUAUCGCCGGUGACAUCCCAAAGAUCUUGGCCUUGUAGGUAAGACUCUAUACAUGUCACCCAUAUGUUGUAAUUUUUUUUUAUUAAGCUUUUUGAUUCCUCCAACAACUUGAAGAUCUCCCAUCGUGUCGACAAAACUUCGAUAAGCCGAACAAGAUUAACUAAUAAUCUUGUAAAGUACUAAACUUCUCACGAUUCUCUAAAGCUUCAAUAGAGAUGGUCCUUUGAUCGUACCGCUCUGAUACCAAUUGUUGAGGAAAAAUUAGAGUACACAACUCUAACACAAGUGUUGGGUGUCUACAAAAUAGAAAAUAUAUUCGAACAAAAAAAAUCAACUAGAUCAAUUUUGAUUCUUCAAAUAGAUUAAACUAAAUUAUAAGUUGGUAAAGAUUAAAACUUUUCUAAAUCCCCCAAAUCACAAGCUAAUCAUGCAUUAGUGAAAAAGAUAUGAAGAGAGAGAGGCUCAUAAGGGGUGGAGAGUCAGAGUCCUUCAAGUAGCCAAGUAUCAUUUUCAAAUCAACUGAGUUGAGAGAUGCAACAACCACCUUGAUCAGCACCUGGUCUUGUUUGGGUUAAAACUUGAACUUUGGGCUCAAGAAGGAGUUGGCCCAAAAGAAAGAGGUCUAGAAGGAGAAAAGCCCGAAGCCCAGCCAAAGCCCAGAAAGCAGGAGAGGCCAUUUCUGACUAGGUGCAGACCAUUUGAACCACUUGCUCACCUACUUAGAGGUCAAGUGGUAUAGACCAGCCAGCUAAUCAGCCCAAAAACAAUUUACAGUGGCGGUACAAGUAAAAAGCUGAUGAGUCAUUGCCCUUCAAGUUGCAUUCGGGCAAGAUUACUGCUUCAGGAGACCAAGCCGAAGUGUCUAUAAAAGAAGAAAGAGAAAUCAAAGAUAAGGACACUCAAUCAAACAAACAAAUACAAGCACAAACUCUGCUCAAACCAGAUUUGCCUUCAACGAAGCUGUAGUCAGCCCAAGUCUUCAUCCAUUUUGGGAUUAACCCUCAACCAAAGCCUUUGUAAUAGCUCUGCUACCUUGUCUAGAACUUGUUGUAGUAUCGAUUUCCUUUUGUAAACCCAUCUCCUUACCCCUCUUUCUAAGCUCUCAAACCCCUUGAUAAACCACAAAGAUAGGAAGUUGCAAGACGAUCAGCCUUGCCCGACCCUCUAUGUUUUUGUCUUUUCAUUCAUUAGUCUAGCAAUAUGUUGUAUACUUCCAGUUGUAUCCAAGUUAUUUCUGGCAAGUUGAUGAUUAAAAAGGCUCAUCAAUUCUUGAAUCCGAUUUAAAUAUGUCUUCACAGAUUAAAUUAGAUCUAAGUUCUAAGCCCUCGGGCAUGUAAGAUUGAUCAUUUAAAAGUCCUUGGUCUCAAGGCAUAAAAAAGAACCUUAUGUGGACUUAACCCAUCCACGACAGUCUUUGAUAAACAAGAAGUCCGAAGUUACUUAGGGCGCAAGUAAUCGACCUAUCCCUUAGUAUUAUUUCUAUUAUAUUAUGAUUAUCGUAGAACGUUUGAGCAUAGAAUGAAUUCUGAUGGGAAGCCUCAAGGCCUACACCUAAGGCCCUACAAAGGCACCUAUUUGGAUUCUUUCUGCUUUUCGGGGGCAAGUAAUCAGAAGUAUAAUAGUCAUAAUACUUCUGUAAUCAAUGAAACAAACAUUAUAUAUUUGAGUACUAGGUUAGUUCCUGAUUGGAAGCCUCAAGGCCUACCCCUAAGGCCCCACAAAGGCACAUUUCAUAACUAAAACAGCCUAUCGGGUAUAUAUACAACUAAAACUCAACAUCUGUUUUACAUCUGCCAUGCUGAAGAUGGCAGUGACACGCCUGAGCACUUAAAAGUUAAUCUUGAUUGUGUGCCUCAAGGCCUAUACCUAAGGCCCCACAAAGGCACAUUUCAAAGUUAACUUUGUCUUUCUUUUUCAGCCUUGCCCGACAAGCCUGCCAGUGAAGCAGAAGCCCGACAGAAAGUAUCGACCGGCGCUAACCUCUCGGGGAGCUGUGUGCUCGUUGGCUAAGAAACACCCCCAACGAAAAUUCUAGCCACGAACAGGUCUUCAUUUGUUUCGGGAACAAGAACAUCCGGAUCGAAGUUCAAAACAUCUGCAAGCUUCCCGUACUCUGAGUACACCCACGCCUUGUUUACAGAUGGUACGGAAACUGUAUCACUUGAAGCUACAGCCACCAUUGAUGCACUGCAAAACCACAAGAACUUGCAAAGGGAAAGGGAAAUGGUUUGUUGUUGUUGUUGUGAGCAAAUGAGUGAGAUACGAUCAGUCUGAGAUCUUGGCACCGUGUCAUUUUAAUGGUGAAGGAGAAGGAUGUGGGUUUUACUGGCGAAGGAGGAGGAUGUAGCUGUUAACUACAUUGAAAUGUUUGGGAAUUAAAGAGAAAAUCAAGAAAAAUCGAUGAAUAGAAGGAUGAACACAGAGAUCUUAGAGAGAGAGAGAUAAAGUUUAGAAAGAGAAAUAUGAGGCUUGUAUUAACUAAAAAUAAAGAUUACACAACUAUGUUUUUAUAAGAGAAUAGCCUACCAACUCUAACCAAAUACUAACAAACUUACUAGAUUGUUGACUUGUACAAUCUUUUUAACUAACCAUCUAACUAUUGGUGUGAAACCCUUAAUAGUAGCAACCACCUUGAUCAGCACCUCAUCCUCCUUAAUUUCAGGAACAGCCAAAAAUAAAAAAUAAAGAUGGUUAUUGGAAAGCGAGUAGUUGAUGUCACAGCCCGUCCCGAGAUUCUAUAUAUCGAGGUUGUGAAAUGACAAAAUUACCCUUAACGGUUACUAAGGUAUGUGUGUGACAUGUUAUUGAUUAUGCAUAUUUCCUAAGUUUUGGAAAAAUUUAAUUGGAUUAAAGGUUAUAUGUAUUUUUGUGGUUAGGGAGUUAAGAAAAAUGGAUGGUGAUGGUUUUGGGAUGGACCACACACACAUACACACGGGUCAAACCUCUCUCUCUCUCCUUCCCGUGCUCUCUCUCUCUCUUCUCUUCUCAGUUCACUCUCUCCCUCUCAAAACUUACGGAUGAGACCAAAUUCCCUCUAAACAUCGCGGAUCGACGCCGAAAAGGUAAGGUUCUUCAUCCUUUCGACCUCCUGAGUCGUUUGGUACUAGUUUUAGAAUGGGAAACCUUAGAAAUCACGUUGAAAACCCGAGGUCCAAUUUGAGUACUGUUCAUGCAUUCGUGAUGUGUUGAUUUUCAGGGAAUUCUAAGCUUAUAGUGAGCUUAGUGAGGUCCUAAGGAAGCUCGGAGUGCUUAGUUUAAAGGUUUUAGACGUCGGGAUCGUUGAGUUCGAAGUUGGCCGGUUUUCUUGGAAUUUCUCCGGUGAGAUUUCGUAGUUUUUAGAGCCUUAAAGUAGUGUAACGUGAAUCUACAUGCUUAGGGCUUCAUUUUGAUAUAAAAUGCGUGAAAAUGGUUGAGAAAUGACGGAGAACAAGGAGAUUGAAAAAUCUCCAGUUUUUCGACGACCGGCGACUAGAGGUUAGGGGUGAUACGCAUGGGGGCACGUGGACCCGUGCCCAUCCUGGCGCGUGCGGCCUCGGAAAAAUUUUCUGAAAAUAUGUCGACGUCCAUGACGUCGAGUAGGUCACUGUGGUAUAUUCAUAUACCCAAAUUGAGCACCGUAUGAGAAGUUAUUUCGAAUUGUCUGUUAUGUGCUUUAAAUAACGUUAUUUUAGUUGUUUCGCAUAUAGGUGAUACCUAUCCCGAGGACGAGCGCAUCCAGGGAUGUCACAGGGGUUACGACCCUUCGACUUAUCAGUGAGUGGGCAGUUAUUUUCUGUUAUUACCUAUAUACUAUUGAUUUUCCCAGAAAUUGAAUUUAAAUGAAAGUAUGUUUUCAAAUGCCAUGCAUGCAUAUUAUGAAUUAUAUGAAUUAGUAAUUGAUGCAUAUAUAUAUAUAUGAAUUGGUGUUGUGGACGCACAUGUGAGUAUCAGGUGAGUUUUAUGUUAUCUAUGUGAAUCAUUUAUGAUGUGAAUUAUGUUGAGAGCUCAUAACCUGCACCCCUGGUGUUAGUGCUUAUAGUAUUCACCGCACCGCACGCUCACCUUGGAUCCAAGUAGGUGCAUGUCGUACAAACCAUGAGAGAGUUCCGACAUACUAGUCGUACAGAUCACUAGAGGUGGUUCCGACUGGUAGGUGACCUUAGAUUAUGUGCACAGAUGAUUGAUGAGAGAAGCACUAAAGCGUAUUAUUACACCAUUCUUGUUGUACAGACUACUUCAGGUAGUUCCGACUUAUGUGCAGAGUAGUGCCGUACAGGUCACCGUGGUGACUCCGGUUGGUUUGGAUAUUGAGCUAUGGAAUUAACCGUACAGGAUCAAUUGCAGGGUCUCCGGUUAAUUCAUUAUGUCACCUGUUAUAUUGAUGCAUUCACAAUCUGUUAUUGACAUUUAUGGCAUGGCAUAUUUUCUGGAAUUGAUAAAGAUUCGUGAUUUGAGUUAUAUGAAGAGUUAUAUGCAUAUUAUGUUAAUUUCUGGGAAAGUAUACAUGUUUUACAGCGAGAGGUUAGAAUUGCUUUUGAUGAAAUGUUUUCGAAAAAAUUUGGUUUUACUGACCCAUUCAAUUUUGUUUUGCGCCCCUCUAGGUUCUAGUUAGCAGCAUUGGUGGCCCACGAGGAUCCCCACGGCGUACUGACAGACUACAUAAAUGUAGGACUCACCUGCGGGUGUUGUAAUCUAGUUAUGGUCCUACUUGACUGCACCUAGUUCUUAUGCUCUGAAUUUGUGUGUUUCACACUUAAACUUACUCUAGCACGUUACUUGGUUAUUAUUGCUAGUAUUUGGUUUUUGUUUAUUCGUAUUUCUCUUAUCUUUUGCUUCCGCGUCGCACUUUUGGUUACGUCACACUCACGUGGUGGCCAGCACGCCUUGAUUCUAGGAUUGGGGUGUGUCAGUUGAGCCCAAACUGGCAAACCGAAGUGUUGUUAAGAAAUUCCCACUAUGGUCUCUAGAGAACAAUCCUAACCCCUAUUAUGACUAGUUGUUCAAAAGGAUCUCCCGUUCUUCCAUCAAAUAUUUUUGGCCCUUUAAAAAUAUCUUUGUAAGUAUCCUUAAAAGUAACUUUGUAAGUUUCAUAUCGUUAGUUAAAAAAUAACAAAUAAAUAUAAAGAUUUGCAAUAUAUCAUAGGAUUUGGAGGAACUGUAAGAGGGAGUACAUCCGCUCUAACCAAUGCCCGUGUUAAAGCUAAAAAACACAGCAAUGAGCAAGUAGGAAGAAAACACACUGCAAACUAGCCAAACUAGAAGCACUAUAUAAAUACACAUAACAUUGCGCCCUUAUUACAAGACUUUCAAACAAGCGGGCAGCAGGAUACAAGUAUAUCACACACGAACAGACUGCAAGCCUGAACUAGUAUACUCUAUUAUCUCAUGGGAUGGGAUACACAACCACCUUUCCGGUAGCUCUGGAGGUUUCAAGAUAGGCAAAUGCUUCAACAGUCUUCGAAAAUGGAUACGGGCCGGUGGGAUCAAGCACCGGCUUCACCUUCCCACUCUCCAAGUAAGGCUUCAGUUUCUCUAAUACAGCUCCGGUUGAAGUAAGCACAAAUAUGAUUGCCGGUGGCGUUACUGGACCUAUGAUUGUCACAACCUUCCCGCCUUCCUUCACCGCCUUCAAUGCCCUGUCACUCUGCCCUGUUUUUGUUAAUUUCAACAACACAAAACAACAUCAGUCAUUGUGCUUGAUUUGUUUAAGAAAAAAACAACGAUGAAAAUUCAAGAAUUAUACCAACUGCAUCAUAAACCACAUCGAAUUUCUCAGGCAGGUCUUCGAAGUUCUCCUUGGUGUAAUCAAUAGCCAAAUCAGCACCCAAGCUUCUCAAAAGAUCGAGUUUUUUCGUGCUCGCUGUAGCUGCUACUUUUGAAGCACUAAACACGCUUUGCUAGCUGCCUCACAUAAACACAUUGAGUGUCAAGAAUAAUUAAUCAAUCAGCUUUACUUAAUUAGAGCCUAACUUAAUGGAAAAUGUUUGCACUUGAUUAACAUUGUACCUGAAUAACAUGUGUUCCGACUCCCCCAGCGCCUCCCAAAACAAGGAUGGAUUUACCGGCAGAGAAUUCAACUCGUUCGAGCCCUUCAUAGGCAGUCUCAAUGGCCAGGGGAAGGCUAGCAGCUUCAACAAAACUCAGAUUUUUUGGCUUGAGAGCUAACACUCUUUCUUCUGCAGCAGUGUACUCGGCCAAUGAUCCGAUCUUUUUCGGCUUAUCGAGAGACUUCUCGUUGAGAUCCCCAUAUACUUCAUCCCCCACCUUAAACUUUGUCACCCGGCUUCCUACUUUCACCACCGCACCAGCAACAUCAUACCCUGGAACCGUCUGCAAACAAGUUAAUUUAAUAAAAUUAAUAUUUUAGUAAACAAGCUAAUUGGGUUUACACUAGAAUUUGAAGAUCAACUUUGAUUCUUCAAAGCAAGUUUCUUGUUAUUUCUUAACCUUUCAAUUUUUAUUUUAUUUUACAAGAUGAUAAUUUAAACUAAUCUACAUGUGGGGAUUCAAACUUGGGUGUCAUCAUCUAAAGAGGAACGAGCACAUUAUUUUGGCCAACUGUAAUAUUAAUAUUCGUCUGUUUAAAAAGAAACGAGCACACUGUUCUAGCCAAUACACGUUUACAAAAAGAAAAUUUCUUCUAACAAAAAGAUCAACUAGAUCAGCUUUGAUUCUUCAAAUAGAUUUAACUAAAUUAUAAGUUGGUAAAGACUAAAACUUUUCUAAAUCCCCCUACUCACAAACUAAUCUUGCAUUUGACUUCAGUGAAAAAAAUGAAGAGAGAGAGAGAGGCUACAGGGGGUGAAGAGUCAGAGUCCUUGAAGUAGCCAAGCAUCCUUUUGAAAUCAACUGGGUUGAGAGAUGCAGCAACCACCUUGAUCAGCACCUGGUCUUCCUUUAUUUCAGGAACAGGAACAUUCGGAUCGAACUUCAAAACAUCUGCAGACUUUCCGUGCUCUGAGUACACCCACGCCUUGUUUACAGAUGGUAUGGAAACUGAAUCACUUGAAGCUACAGCAGCCGCCAUUGAUGCACUGCAAAAACCACAAGAAUUUGCAAAGGGAAAGGGAAAGGGUUUGUUGUUGUUGUUGUGAGCAAAUGAGUGAGAUCAGAUCAGAUCAGAUCAGUCUGAUAUCUCGACAGCGUGUCGUUUUAAAGGUGAAGGAGAAGGAUGUGGAACCUUGGUGUUUGCCUACGUGGCCAUAUAAGAAAAAACUCCAAAUGAUGCAUCAAGAUGCACUGUUAGUUAGGUUCAGUGGGGCAACAUGCCAAAUUAUGCAUGUAGACACAUCGUUGCUUGAGGUUCAUUGUGUGCGGCAACAUGUUAUAAAAUUGGUGUUCUGUUUCUUUUAGCCAAAUCUGACAUCAAGAAACCCCUGGAUGGUAAUGCUAACGUCGCUGAUAUCGUAAUGCUUGCUAGCGUAGAAGUUUUCUUCCUUUUUUUAUCCUUAUCCUUGAGUUUUCUUCUUUCUUGUUGACACCUCCAACAAGAAAUAUAAGAAGAAAAAACCCAACACUUUCUGUUACUUGGCUCUUUUGUAAGUAAGUGCUUACGUAAGAAAUACUAAUUUAUAACUUUACGUAGGUUACUAUUAUUAUUUUUAUAACUUUAGGUAGGUUACUAUUAUUAUUUUUUAACAAAUGAUAUUAUCUUAUAUUAAGACCAUCUUUAACCUAUGGGGUAAAGCUUAAAAUAUAAGUUUUAAAAACCCCCAAACCAUUUCCAACCAUAGGCUAAAUAAGUCAUGGUGAGAAAAUAUAUAUCUGGGCUAGAUUCCCUGUUACACCACACCCUCAUUUUAGUUAAAAAUGGUUUUUAGUUCUGAAUUGGUGAGCCCAAAGGGCACACCCCCUGUUAUCUGUCCCCGGUUUCCCAUCUCUCUCUCUCUCCUCCAUUUCUCUUCUCUUUUCCCUUCUCUCUCCCCGAAUCUCUCUGCACCCACUCUCGUCUCUCUUUCUCUCCCUCAUUCCCCGAUCUCUCACCCCUCGACCCACACCCGAGAGCUCCACACCACCCUCCCCGACAUCAACGGAGCCACCAUCAUCAUCAUGCCGUCUCUCUCUCUCUCUCUCUCUCUCUCUUGUCGCUGCGAGGUGCGGAGAAGCCACCCUCCUGCGAGAUUCUCCAUUUUUUAGAAAUCAAGGUAAGCCUCGGGACUUCUCUUUCUGGUUUAUGAUGAAUUGGGGUUAAGUUUGGGACUUUUUAUCCAUGCAUGCUUGUGUUCUUCGAAUUUCCAAUUCUCGGCAAACUUCUACGGUGGAACUCUAACGAGUUCUAAAUCAAACCCACCCCAAACUUUGGAAUUUCUCAUCUAAGAAACUGAAUGGUGAACAUCAUGAAUUCCGGCAGUGGAAUCGUCGAAUUUGGGGUCCUGCAAGCUCAUCUGAGUAUCCAGCAAACCUAGGGUAAUGUUAUUAUGCUUUGCAUGUUAGAUUUGAGUUGAGAUUUGAAGGUUUUAACCCUAGGAAACUCUUUGUGCAUUUCCCUAACUCCAGCAAGAAAAUUUGGCGAAGCCUUGUCGAGUCCGAAGAGGAUUUGACUCGUUUUCAUCUAUGUUGAUGCUCUGAUGAAUUACCUCAAUUUUUAGUGAAGUUCUAGUCCAAAGUCAUGUGGAACCACUGGCGGAUUCAUUAAGGGGUAAGGGGGUCAGCUGACCCCCCGAACUUCAAUGAACGUCUAUAGAUACCUUAGGUGCUGACCCUCCGAAUUUCGAUGAAUGUCCAUGGAUACCUUGAGUGUUGCCCUUUUGAAGAUUAGAGUUGGCUUCAUACUUGCCCUCCAACCGACUUUAGACUUACCAAAACCCGAUGAAUGUCCAUGAAUACCUUGGGUGAUGCCCUUGCAUACAUUAACAUAUCUAUAGUAUGCAUUUUCAAAUGACUUCAGGCCUACCAAGACUCGAUAAAAUGACGAUAUGCAUACUAUUUUUGGUAUAAAAAAAAUUGCGCACUACGCGCGUUGUUCUUACUGACCCCCUUUAAUAUUAUUUCCUGGAUCCGCCACUAUAUGGAACCAAGGUGUUUUACCUCUGUUUAUUCUCUGCAAUCAGUUCCAAAAACUAGGGAACCCACACAUAUUGAACUCCAGCGAGUUCUUGGGCUGCUUGUUUAAUGUGUGUGUGUGUCGUGUGUGUGUGUGAGUGUGUGUGUGUGUGUGUGUGUGUGUGUGUGUGUGUGUGUGUGUGUGUGUGUGUGUGUGUGUGUGUGUGUGUGUGUGUGUGUGUAUGUGUGUUAUAUGGGUUUGGGCUCAAGCCCAAACCACCAUUCUUUGCAAUAAGGCCUUCGGGCCGUGUGUGUAUAUGUGUGGGUCUGGGCCCAAGCUCAGACAACCCUAAACCCAUCCAACCCACAACCCUUUUCCCAAAACCAAUUUCCUAAAACUCAUUAACCUUAAAUCUAAAUCUAAACCCUUAGGGCCCAAUCGGCCCAACCCAAAUCCAAGCCCAGUCUGACCUUUGACCGUUGACUUGGUCAACGGUCAGCGUUGACUUUGACCAGUCAACGAUUAACAUUGACUUUUAGAGUUGACUUUUCGGGGUUUCGUCUGGGACCUUUCCUAGGCUAAUUUCGACGUCCUGGACCCGUUUUUGAAGUCCAUUUUCCCAAAUUAAAUUGUUUGAGUAGAGUUUGACUAAUUGUGCUAUUUAUGUGCUUAGGGUCAACUAUUGUGACGUUUUCGUCUUCGCUAGUGGCGCAGUUUUUGGCGGCUAAGUACUGUGAGUAGACCCCUUCUAAAAUUAAAUGAUUUUAUAGUUCAAUUGCAUAAAUGAAUAGCAUGCCUUACGAGUUUAUGAUUUGAUUUUAUGUUAAGCAUUUUUAUUGAAUAUGUUGAUUUUCGUCUUGUGUUUUUUAUGAGGAAUUAAUUGUUAGCCUAUAUUGAGCUAUAUUUUAAUAUAUCGUAUUUUCUAUAAAAACCAUGAACUGGUAGACUAUCUGAUGGAUGACGAUAGGAUGCUAGAACAUGUUUUAGAAACCCCUCUUUAUAGUAUAGACGAUGGAUGACUUUAUACUAUGAAGUGGUUAUUUAUGAAAGGCGUAAUUAUUUGUGCAUAUCUAGUGGACACUAUGCCGCCUGGGGUGAGGAUCUGGUGUUGGCAGAUAGGCCGGGAGAAAUAAUCCCUAGCUACGGGCUGAGGGACACGGAGCAGGCAUUGGGCCGAGAGUUGGUAAUCUCUGGCUACGGGUGCAGAGACCACGGUGCUGGCAUAGGGCCGGGAGUUAUAUUUAUUCAAUGAUCUUACUAGCAGCACACCAUGUUUACGAGACGAUCUACGAGAUGAUACACGCGAUGAUUUAUAUGAUGUUUUUCCGCGUUAUACCUGUUGAGAUGUUUUAUGGCAUGCUAGAGUUUCAGAAAACCUAUCACUUAUUAUGCUAGUAGUUUUCAUUAUAUAUAAACUUGGUCCACUCACCCUUGUUUUGCGCCCCUUUCAGGAUUUAGAAUUCGAGGCAUAGGUUCCCGACGUCAACGCUUUCGCAUUGGCAUAUUCGAGUCCUCUCGGUGUAGGACUCACAUCCUUUUAUUUAUUAAAUUUUAUAUUAAUUCUUUUAGAACUCUAGUUAGUUGUAUGCUCUGAACACGUUUCUAAUUUAUUAAUUCUUUGAAUUUUAAAUUCAUAACCCUUAUUUACUUCUUAUUCUUAGCUUUUGUAUCAAUUAAUGGCUUUCGUCACCCUCGGGUGUCGGCCAGCACGUGCCUAUCCUGUUAUUCCAGGAAUAUUGGGAUCGGGGAGUGUCAUUCCCCUAGAAUUUAAGUAUGUCUUAAAUUAUUUUGGACCCACCAAACUGUCAUAUUUCAUUUUUUGUUUUUGUUUUUUACUUAUAAUCUAACGGCUAUGAUCAAAUGAGACCAAAUCUAAUAGUAAAAUAAACAUUUGACGGUCCAAAAUUAAAUAAUGUCUAAAAUUAUUUAAGAAAAUUAUCUACACCAAAUUUAACUUAAAACUUUAAAUACCUAUGUAUUUGUAUGAUUUUUAAUUACUUAUCAUCGAAAAUUAAAUAUUUAAAGACUAAAAUGUUCAUAAAAAUAAAUUAAGAUAAUCUACAUAAUUUUUUUUUUAAAAGAAAAGUUAUCGAAAACAAAAAGUUAGGCUAAAAUCAUUAUUUAAUCAUCACAGACUAAAAUUUUAAGCCACAAGGGUUGGAGGAAAAAAAAAAAUCAGUUUUUGGCUUAUGGCUUAAAAUUUUAUGGCUUAAAUUUUUAAGUUUUAUGCCCAAGGGUUGGAGAUGGUCUAAAGGGGUGAGGGAAUUCAAAUGGGCUAAACCCCACAAUGAAGCUAGCAAUAAUGUGGUUCAAAUUAGUAGAGGUGCAGUUAAAAAAUAUUAUUUAUAGACUUAUUAGAGGUAUAGUUAAAAAAAAAAUUAUUAGGAAAUUGUUAUUAGCACUCCAAAAAUCUCAUUUGGCACUCCAAACUUUCUAUAAUUAGAAAGAAAAAUACACUUAUGACGAGUGUAUAAUGAGUUUUUUUUAGUGCUAAUAACAGUUCCCUAUUAUUAAUUGACUUAUUUAUCUUUCAUUAAUGUUGUAUUUUCUAAAUAGGAUUUCUGAGAAGGGCAAUAUGGAAAUACAAAAAAGUUUCAUGCCAAGAAGUUGUAAACAUGCUUAAGAAAUUAGAAACAUUUUGGCUUCAAUAAGAAGGUGUCAUGUUGAUAGAGUAUUAUGUACUUGCAAGUUCAAAGACGUAGCACCAACUCCAAAAACUAAAGCAUUGCCUCAUACAAUUUUAGAUAAAUAUUUUAGUUCAUCUUAAACUUUUAUUUAUGGUAUUGCAUAUUUUUGUACUCAAACAACUUUAGAGAAAUAUUUUAAUUUCCUUAAGAUGAGACUAAGAACAAUUAUAACUUAUUAAAAUGUGGAGUUUAUUCCUAUGCAUAACUGGUCUUUUAAGUUGGGACCAAAAUCUUUUGUGACUUGAGGUUAUUCCUUUAUGGAAUAUUACUUUAGAGAGGUUUUACUGUAGUUAAGGCUUUUUUUAAUGAAAGCGCUUUCAUUAAAAACAAAAGGAAAACUAAUUAAAAAUGCUUGAAAACUUUGAGUUUUAACGAUAAGGACAAAAUAAAGGGUUAAGUGAAUAGUACCAUGAUUGACUUUUUAGUGCAAAAAUGUGAUUUUUCGUUAAAAUGAACAGUACCGCGGGCUUUUCGUUAAAACUCCCAAAAACAAAUCAAAGUUUUUAUUAUAAACCCAAUUGCUCUUUUAUAGUUGUGAAGGGAGAAUGUUGUGCAGGCAUUGUCGCUUGAGGUUCACUGUAUGAGAACAAGUCGCAACUCAAGUUUUGUAUCUUAUUUUUCACGACUGAGGCAUGCAAUUGAAGUUUACCUUUGUUUGUAUCAUACUUGACCAAUCCUGAAACUAUUGAGCACCGAUCAACGUUAUACCGUCAAGGACCCAGAAAAGUUUCCCUCCAACCAGGAGGCCAAUCACAGCGCGACACCUGUCGAUAUCAAAAGUCAAUCAUAGCGUGACACGUGUCAACAUCAGAAGCCAAUCACAACACGACACGUGUCAAUGUUUGAAUGAAACUAGAAACUCUCUUCUAUAAAUAGAUAUCAUUCUCUCACAAUAUUUCCUAAUGUCAUUUGUACUAAAUCAUUCACUUGUACUCACUAAAUGAGAGCUUGAACCUAUGUACUUGUGUAAACCCUUCACAAUUAAUGAGAACUCCUCUACUCCGUGGACGUAGCCAAUCUGGGUGAACCACAUACAUCUUGUGUUUGCUUCCCUAUCUCUAUCCAUUUAUAUACUUAUUCAUACUAGUGACCGGAGCAAUCUAGCGAAGGUCACAAACUUAACACUUUCUAUUGUACCAAAAUCCUCACUGAGUUUGUGCAUCAACAACCUUCUUACUUAUCACACCUACAACAAGAAAAACAAGACGAAGAAAAAAAAACACCUGUACUUUUGAAGUUGACCUAGUUCAAAUGGAAGUGCUAUAUAAGAGGGAAUAUAUCCGCUCUAACCAAUGCCGGUGUUAAAGCGAAAAAACACAGCAAUGAGCUAGUAGGAAGAAAACACAGUGAAAACUAGCCAAACUUGAAGCACUAUAUUAGUAGAUAUAAGAUUGCGCCGCCCUUAUUACAAGUCCUUUUAAACAGCAGGCAGCAGGAUACAAGUAUAUAUCACACACAAACAAAUUGCAUGGCUGAACUGGACUCUAUGAUUUCAUGGAAUGGGAUACACAACCACCUUUCCUGUAGUUCUGGAGGUUUCAAGAUAGGCAAAUGCUUCAACAGUCUUCGAAAAUGGAUACAGGCUGGUGGGAUCAAGCACCGGCCUCACCGUCCCACUCUCCAAGUGAGGCUUCAGUUUCUCUAAUACAGUUCCGGUUGAAGUCAGCAUAAACAGGAAUGCUGGUGGCGCUACUGGACGUACAAUUGUCAAUACCUUCCCGCCCGCCUUUACCGCCUUCACUGCCCCGUCAGUCUCCCCUAUAUUUGUUAAUUUCAGAAACACAAUACAACAUCGGUCCUUGUGUUUGAUUAAUUCUGAUAAAUAAAUAAAAAAUGUUGUAACUUUGAUGUAUUUAUUUGGUUGGAUAACAUCAUGCAUCGAAUUGUUUAAGCUUAAUUUAUAUAAGAAAGAACCAACAAUGAAGAUUCAAGAAUCAUCCCAACUGCGUCGUAAACCACAUUGAAUUUCUCGGGCGGGUCUACGAAGUUCUCCUUGGUUUAAUCAAUAACAAAAUCGGCACCCAAGCUUCUCAAAAGAUCGAGUUUUUUGUGCUUACAGUAGCUGCCACUUUUGAAGCAUCAAACAUAUGCUUGCUAGCUGCCUCACAUAAACACAUUAACUGUCAUGCAUAAUUAAUCAAUCAGCUUUGCUUAAUUAGAGUCUAACUUAAUGGUAUAGUGGAAAAUGUUUUGUGGAAAAUGUUUUCACUUGAUUAACUUUGUACCUGAAUAACAUGUGUUCCAACUCCCCCAGCGCCUCCCAAAACAAGGAUGGAUUUACCGGCAGAGAAUUCAGCUCGUUCGAGCCCUUCACAGGCAGUCUCAAUUACCAGAGGAAGGCUAGCGGCUUCAACGAAACCUCAGAUUUUUGGGCUUGAGAGCUAACACUCUUUCGUCUGCAGCAGUGUACUCGGCCAAAGAUCCGAUCUUUUUCGGGUUAUCGAUAGCCUUCUCAUUGAGAUCCCCAUAUAUUUCAUCCCCCACCUUAAACUUUGUCACUUGGCUUCCUACUUUAACCACCACACCAGCAACAUCAUAUCCUGGAACUGUCUGCAAAACAAGUUAAUUUAAUAAAAUUAGAAGUAGCAAAUAAGCUAAUUGGGUUUACGCUAGAAUAUGAAGAUCAGCUUUGAUUCUUCAAAGCAAGUUAAAUUUUUUUUUUCCUUAACCAUUCAUCUUUAUUUUAUUUUACAAGACAAUACUUUGAACUAAUCUACGGGUAGGGAUUCAAACUUGGGUUUCAGCGUUUAAACAGUGACGAACACAAUGCUAUGGCCAACUUACGCGUCUACAAAGUAGAAAAUAUAUUCUAACAAAAAAAUCAACUAGAUCAAUUUUGAUUCUUCAAAUAGAUUAAACUAAACUAUAAGUUGGUAAAGAUUCAAACUUUUCUAAAUCCCCCAAAUCACUAGCUAAUCAUGCAUUAGUGAAAAAAAAUGAAGAGAGAGAGAGAGAGAGAGAGGCUCACAGGGGGUGAAGAGUCAUAGUCCUUGAAGUAGCCAAGCAUCCUUUUCAAAUCAACUGAGUUGAGAGAUGCAGCAACCACCUUGAUCAGCACCUGGUCUUACUUUAUUUCAGGAACAGGAACAUCCGGAUCGAAGUUCAAAACAUCUGCAGACUUUCCGUACUCUGAGUACACCCACGCCUUGUUUACAAAUGGUACGUAAACUGAAUCACUUGAAGCUACAGCCGCCAUUGAUGCACUGCAAAAACCACAAGAACUUGUAAAGGGAAAGGGAAAUGGUUUGUUGUUGUUGUUGUUGUGAGCAAAUGAGUGAGAUACGAUCAGUCUGAGAUCUUGGCACCGUGUCAUUGUAAUGGUGAAGGAGAAGGAUGUGGGUUUUACUGGUGAAGGAGGAGGAUGUGGAACCUUGGUGUUUGCCCACGUUACCGUACAAGAAAAAACUCCAAAUGAUGCAUCUACAUGCAUUGUUAUUUGAGGUUCAUUAUUUGCGGCAACAUACCAAAUCAUGCAUCUAAAUGCAGUGUUAUCUGAGGUUCGUUGUGUGCGUUGUGUGUGGCAACAUACCAAAUGAUACAUCUAGAUGUAGUGUUAUUUGAGGUUCGUUGUGUGCGGCAACAUGUUAUGCAAUUGAUGUUCUCUUUCUUUUAGACAAAUCUGACAUCAACACACCGCGAGAUCGUAAUUGCUAGCGAUUGAAGUUUUCUUCCUUAUUAUCCUUAUCACAAGUUUUCUUCCUUCUUGUUGACACCUUCAAGAAAUAUAAGAAGAAAAAACCCAACACUUUCUAAGUUACUCAGCUCAUUUGUAAGUAUGGGUUUACGUUAGAAACAUUAAUUUUAUAACUUUAGAUAGGUAUUAUUUGAUAGAGAUGUAGUUAAAAAAAAUAUUAUUUAUUGACAUUUAUUUUUGAUGAAUUAUGUAUUUCCUAAACAGGAUUUCGAAGGAGGACAACAUGAAAAUACAAAAUGUAUUAUGCCGUGAAGUUGUGAACAUGCUUGAGAAAUUAGAAACAUUUUGGCUUCGAUAAGAAGGUGUCGUGUUGACAAAGUAUUACGUACUCGCAAGCCUAAAGUGUUGACUGAUAUUGACUCAAGUGAAUGCCACAUAAUCUGCCAUGUCAUCAAUAUUUCUGUUAAAAGUUAGUUAGGAGGGUUAUGUGUAGCUUACACAGUAAGCAAGGUAGUUAGACUACUAGAGGGAUAUAAAAGGCCGAUUGCAGUCUAAUGUUUGUAAGAAAUAACCAUUCUAUCAAUACAAAACUUUUCAUAUUCUUUCUAGUUUUAUUUCCAGGUCUUCUUCUACAUUCUCUAUAUUCCUUCUUUCUUCUUUCUUCUGUGGUUCUGAUCUUCUUUGUUAAGAUGGUAUCGAGCCAAGGUUGAUUUUUUUUUGGGAUUUUCUUCCGCUGAGUAAGUCUUGGAGAUUGAUCGUUGAAGGCGUUGUUGGAGUUCUUGGAGGAUUGGUGCUGGCUUGAUGAAUUUUGGGUCGAGGGUCUUUCAAUCAGGUUGUUGGUUUCUUUCUUUAUUCUUUGCACAUCAAGUGUUUGCGUUUUUGCUUCAGUGAAGAUAUAUGGCGAUUUGGGUUGUUUCUUGUGGUUUUUCAUAUAUGGGUUCUUUGUUGGAUUCGAUUAAGGCUGAUGCCAGACAAUAGCAGAUUUAUACUUGUGGUGUGAUAUGGUUGAAGUUGUUCAUUUGUGACAUUGCUGAAAUUUUAGCUUUUGAAGUAUAUACAUAUAGAAGGCCGAUGCCAAGAAGUAGUGCAAAUAUCUUGAAGUGGUGAUCAUUGUUGUAGUUUGGAGUUAAACAAAUUUGUGAUUGAGAUUGUUUGCUUGUCAGUAAUACGUGAUAAAGAUGUCUGAUAAAUGAGUACGCAUUGAAAGUUUGCUUGGUAUGUUAACUGUGAAGUUGCAAGAUGACAAUUUUGUUAAGUGGAAUUAUCAGUUUCAGUCUGUUUUACGAGGGUAUGAUUUCUUUGAAUUUUUUACUGGUGAGUCUCCUUGUCCACCAAAGUUUGUGAUUAACACUGAGAGUGGAGUGACUACAGAAAUCACAGCAGCUUAUAAAUCUUGGGUUCAGAAAGAUAUGGAACUAUUGAGUCUGUUAAUUGCUACUUUGUCGGAUGAUGCUAUGGAAUAUGUCAUAGGGUGUAAAAUGUCUCAUGAAGCUUGGGUAAACUUACAAGACCGAUAUGCGUCCGUGUCAAGGGCUAGGAUUAAUCAACUCAAAAUUGUGUUUCAUACAAUUCAAAAAGGCAGUGAUUCUAUUGACAAGUAUUUGCUUCGGUUGAAAGCCAUUCGUGAUCAGCUUGUGUCUGCAGGGGAGAGGAUUACUGAUAAUGAUGUUGUUAUUACUGCUUUAUCUGGAUUACCAUCGGAGUUUGAUAUUGUCAAGGCUGUAGUUUUAGCAAGGGAGACUUCUAUUCCACUGAAAGAUUUCAGGGCGCAGUUGAUUGGUGUUGAAUCUGCUAUGGAAGCAAGAGUCACUACUCUGGCCAGUGGCAUGGCUGCAAUGUAUGUUCAAGGAGAUAGAGUUACAGGUGGUCAUCAGAAUUCCGGGUAUUCACAAGGAGAGAGUUCAAAUGCUGGUUCACAAAUUGGUGAUACUCAAGGCUAUCAAGGGAACAACAGGUUUCAAAACAGAAAUAGGUUUAAUAAUUCUCAGGGGUCUAAUACUUCUCAGAACUAUAACAGAAGUGGUUAUGGGUCUUUCAAUAAUUCAAGGCCUUAUUACAAUGGGAAUAGACAGAGAUGGGGAAACAACUAUAAUAAUUCUCCUACUGGGAAUAUGUCUUCUUGGAGUGGUAAUACUACCUUCAAAACAGGUCCGAUAGUUGAAUGUCAGAUUUGUUCUCGCAGAGGUCAUACUGCUGCAACUUGUUCGAAUAAGAGUGAUGGUUAUCAGGUUCUAAUCUGCCAAAUUUGUGGAAAGAAAGGUCAUCAUGCUCUGGAUUGUAGACAUAGGAAUAACUAUUCCUAUCAGGGGGCACCUCCACCUCCUUCUCUUACUGCAUUUUCUGCUUAAGCUCCAUCUCACAUGACUGCUGCAGAAUAUGGUCAGAAUGUUCAACAUUUCUCUGCAGCUGAUACAUGGGUGUUGGACACUGGUGCUUCACACCAUAUGACAUCUAAUCUUAGGAAUCUCAAUCAACCUGUGCAGUAUAAUGGUGAUGAGAAAAUCACUAUUGGUAAUGGGGAAGGUUUGGCUGUUACUCAUAUUGGUUCUACAACCCUUUCAACUCCACAACAUUUACUGUUUCUCAAGAAUGUCUUACAUGUUCCAACCAUUACUGUUAAUCUCUUAUCUGUUAAGAAAAUUAUGUGAAGAUAAUCAUUGCUGGUUUAUAUGUGAUGAGAGUGUCUUUUUUAUACAGGACAAGGCAACAGGAAUGAUGUUGUACCACGGCAAGAGUAGGGGAGAGCUAUAUGAGAUCCCUGUGACUGUGUUUUCAAGAAGAUUGGUUGCUGGUCAAAAUAAAGUUGUUGCAUUACUUGGGAAAGCUGUAAAGACUUCUGUUUGGCAUAAGAGGCUUGGGCAUCCUUCUGCCGAAGUGCUUGAUGUUAUGCUUCGAAAUGUUGGACAGCCUGUUAGUGUAGAUUCAUCACCUUCUGUUUGUUCUUCAUGUCUUUCUGGAAAAAUGUGUAGACAACUCUUUCCUGUCAAAGAAACUAGGGCUAGUUCUAUGUUUGAAAAAGUACAUUCUGAUAUUUGGGGGCCUGCUCCAGUUAAGUCUCUAGAAGGGUUUAGAUACUAUGUAAGUUUUGUGGAAGAGUUCUCAAGAUUUGUAUGGAUCUUCCCUAUUAUCAAUAAAUCUGAGGUUUUCCAAGUCUUUUUAAGUUAAGUUUUUUGCAUUUGUUACAACUCAGUUCAAUUCUAUAAUUAAGUGCUUACAGACAGAUGGUGGUUCUGAAUAUAUGAGUAACAGAUUUCAGUCUUUUUUGGCACUCAAAGGAACUGCACAUUCCAUAUCAUGUCCUUACACACCUCAGCAGAAUGGUCUUGCUGAGAGGAAACAUAGGCACAUCGUAGAGACUGCUAUCACACUUUUAACCGAGGCUGAAGUUCCAUUACAGUUCUGGAAUUAUGCUUGUACUCAUGCUGCAUUUCUGAUCAACAGAAUGCCGUGUAAGGUUUUGGGGAUGAAGUCUCCAUAUCAGCUCCUGUUUAAACAAGACCCUGUGUUGCAUACAUUGAAGAUAUUUGGAUCUGCAGUUUAUCCAUUCUUAAGGCCGUAUACUAAACAUAAAUUGCAACCUAGGUCGAAGCAAUGUGUUUUUCUUGGUUUUGUGGCUGGAUAUAAAGGUGUAGUCUGUUAUGAUUUGAGUAGUACUAAACUAGUAUUGUCAAGACAUGUGGUGCAUGAUGAGACUACAUUUCCAUUUAAAUCAAGACUGCAGUUGUCUUCUGGGAAGUUCAAUAAGGUCCAGAGUACAACAAUGUUUCCAAUCAUGGUUCAAAUGCCAUGUUUUGCUCCUGAUCCCAUAUCCUCCCCAACCCUUGCCAGGUCAUCUGCCAAUCCAGAUAUUAUGGAAGAUCAACCAAUGGAUAGCUUACAGGUUCCAAGCUCAUUAAGUCAAGUUUCUCAGGAUCUCAAUGCUCAUACUCAUAGCUCUCCUACUCUCUCAACAUCACCUCCAAGUACAAUAUCAUUGUUGCCUGUCCAUAGUCCUUCUCAGUUAGAGGUAAUCCUACCAAUCUCUUCUCCUGUGGUUGAAACUAAUGAAGAAUCAGCUCACGAUAUGGUCACCAGGUUGAAGUCAGGUGCCAUUUCCCGAAGAUCUUACACAGGUUAUAUUGGUUCAUUUCCAGAAUUACAAACUCUCCAGAUGGAUAAUGAGUGUGACUUUACUGGGGGGUUUUCAUUUAUUGCUGCAAUACAGGAUUUGGAGGAACCCUCAACAUUCCGAAAAGCUUCUACAUGUCCACAUUGGCAAAGUGCAAUGCAAGAAGAGUUUAAUGCACUCAAAGCUCAAGGAACUUGGCAAUUGGUUCCUUCUCCACCAAAUAGAACCAUUAUUGGCAGUAAGUGGGUAUAUAAGGUUAAGAAGAAUCCUGAUGGCAGUGUAUCGAGGUAUAAAGCCAGACUCGUGGCUCAAGGUUUUUCCCAAGAACCAGGCAUUGACUACUCAGAAACUUUUAGUCCCGUAGUCCGACACACUACUGUAAGACUCAUUUUGUCCUUAGCAGCUAUCAAUAAAUGGGAAUUGAGGCAGUUAGAUAUCAAAAAUGCAUUUCUGCAUGGUGACUUGCAAGAAGAGGUGUAUAUGAAACAGCCUCAAGGGUUUGUUGAUCAAACUAAACCCCAUUAUGUCUGUAAGUUGAUUAAAUCGUUGUAUGGGUUGAAGCAAGCCCCUCGGGCAUGGAAUUCAAAGUUCACGACCUAUUUACCAGCUUUGGGAUUUGUACCAUCUUCAUCGGAUACAAGUUUAUUUGUGAAGAAUGAUGACAAGGAUGUGGUGAUUCUUUUACUAUAUGUAGAUGACAUCAUUUUUGACAGGAUCCAAUCCUAGCAAAGUUCAGCAAGUUAUUGAUGAUUUGGCAGGUGUUUUUGACUUAAAGGAUAUGGGCAGACUUACUUACUUCCUGGGACUUCAGAUUCACUACAAGGAGAAUGGAGACAUAUUUGUCAAUCAAUCAAAGUAUGUUAAAGAUCUUAUUCAUAAAGCUGGAAUGGAAUCUUGUAAACCUGCCAAUACACCAUGCAAACCUCACAAUCAAAUGCUCUUGCAUGAGGGAAUACCAUUGCAGGACUCUACAUUGUACAGAAGUUUGGUUGGUUCCCUGCAAUAUCUCACAUUUACACGUCCUGAUAUAGCGUAUGCUGUGAAUUCAGUGUGUCAAUUUAUGACUGCUCCGACAGAUUUACAUAUCAUUUCUGUCAAACGAAUUCUUCGAUAUCUUCAAGGCACUGCAGAGUGUGGCAUUACAUAUGCAGCUGAUACUGACAUACAUUUGACAGCAUUCUCUGAUGCUGAUUGGGCUGCUGAUUUGAACACAAGACGAUCUGUGACUGGUUAUGUGGUUUACCUUGGUGGGAAUCCAAUCUCGUGGUAGUCAAAGAAGCAAUCAUCCGUCUCUCGAAGUUCUACCGAGGCGGAGUACAAGGCACUUGCUCAUACUGCAGCAGAUGUGGCUUGGAUUCGGCUCAUUUUGAAAGAUUUGGGCGUUGCAUUACCUUUUCAACCAACUAUAUUCUGUGAUAAUAAAUCUGCAAUAGCACUCAGUGCUAAUCCAGUGUAUCAUUCGAGAAUCAAACACCUUGAUACGGAUUAUCAUUUUGUCCGUGAAAGGGUGCAUCAUGGUGAUUUGUUGGUUGAAUAUCUACCCACUGAUGAACAGACCGCUGAUAUUCUUACUAAAGGAUUACAUAGUCCGCCGUUCACUCGUCAUUGUUUCAAUCUCAAACUUGGUUUCCCUAGUUGAGAUUGAGGGGGGAUGUUGACUGAUAUUGACUCAAGUGAAUGCCACAUAAUCUGCCAUGUCAUCAAUAUUUUUGUUAAAAGUUAGUUAGGAGGGUUAUGUGUAGCUUACACAGUAAGCAAGGUAGUUAGACUACUAGAGGGAUAUAAAAGGCCGAUUGCAGUCUAAUGUUUGUAAGAAAUAACCAUUCUAUCAAUACAAAACUUUUCAUAUUCUUUCUAGUUUUAUUUCCAGGUCUUCUUCUACAUUCUCUAUAUUCCUUCUUUCUUCUUUCUUCUGUGGUUCUGAUCUUCUUUGUUAAGAUAAAGGCGUGAAAUCAACUCUAAAAACUGAAGCAUUGCCCCAAACAACUUUAGAGAAAUGUUUUAGUUAAUCUUAAACUUUUAUUUAUGGUAUGAAACUAUUAUUGACACUUCUAACAUCUCAUUCUAUAUUCCUCAUAAGUGUAUUUUUUUUUCUUAAUUAUAGAAAGUUUGAAGUGUAAAAUGAAAGUUUUGGAGUGUCACAUUCCAGCCCGAGCCCCCACCACAUCCCAGGCUCAACUCCACCGUAGCACGAUAUUGUCUGCUUUGGGCCCCGAGCACGCCCUCACGGUUUUGUUUCUGGGAACUUACACAAGAACUUCCCAGUGGGUCAUCCAUCAUGGGAGUGCUCUUGUGCGCUACUUGCUUAACUUCGGAGUUCUAAUGGAACCCGAAACCAGUGAGCUCCCAAAAGGCCUCGUGCUAGGUAAGGGUGGGAAUAUACAUUUAAGGAUCACUCCCAUGGGCGAUAUGGGAUGUUACAAUCCACUCUUCUUAGGGGCCCGACAUCCUCGUCGGCACACUUUCGGCCAGGGAUUGGCUAUGAUACCAUUUGCCACAUCCCGGCUCGAGGCAGACCACUUCCCGGGCCCGUUCCACCACCGUAGCACGAUAUUGUCCGCUUUAGGCCUCGACUACGCCCUCACGGUUUUGUUUCUGGGAACUCACAUGAGAACUUCCCAGUGGGUCACCCAUCAUGGGAUUGCUCUCGCGUGCUAUUCGCUUAACUUCGAAGUUCCAAUGGAACUCGAAGCCAGUGAGUUCCCAAAAGACCUCGUGCUAGGUAGAGAUGGGAAUAUACAUAUAAGGCUUACAGGAUCCACUUAUUUGGGCAAUGUGGGAUAUGUUACAAUCCACCCCCCUUAGGGACCCAACGUCUUCGUCGGCACACUACCGGUCAGGGAUUGGCUCUAAUACCAAAUUGUCAUAUCCCAGCCUGGACCCCUACCACAUCUCGGGCUCAACUCUACCGUAGCACGAUAUUGUCUGCUUUGGGCCCCGAGCACGCCCUCACGGUUUUGUUUCUGAGAACUUACACGAGAACUUCCCAGUGGAUCACCCAUCAUGGGAGUGCUCUCAUGCGCUACUCGCUUAACUUCGAAGUUCCAAUAGAACCCGAAGCAAGUGAGCUCCCAAAAGGUCUCGUGCUAGGUAAGGAUGGGAAUAUACAUUUAAGGAUCACUCCCCUGGGCGAUAUGGGAUGUUACAUGGAGUGUCAAUAAUAAUUUCCUUUGUGGUAUUGCAUAUUUUGUCCUGAAACAACUUUAGAGAAAUAUUCAAGUUUUCUUAAGACAGGAAUAAGAAAAAAUUAUAACUUAUUACAAUGUGAAGUUCAUUCCUAUUAAUAAUUGGUCUUAAGUUAAGACCAUAUUUUUUUGUGACUUGAGAUUAUUUCUUUAUAAAGUAUUACUUUAGAAAUGUUUUACUGUAGUUUAAGCGGUUUUAUUAAAAACGCUUUUAUUAAAAGAAAAUCAAAGCUUUUAUUUACAAAACCCAAGUGCACUUUUAUAUUUUCGACCAAAACUUUAUGAUCAUAUCACUGACAAAUUUUCAUUCCCCCAAGAGUGUUAGAUUGUAAUUAUUUUAGGAGACAGAUUGUCUGCCCUUUUGUUUGGGUGCUCUCCCCAUCCUCUUUUAUUUGUGUUGUCACGGUUAAGCCACGUCAACAUUUUAUAUUCUUAUUGUUUUUUGUCUUAUUAUUUCUAUAAGAGAAUUAAUAUAAAAUGUUAACGUGGCUUAACCGUGAUCGCACAAAAUAGAAAGGGAUGAGAAGGGCACCCAAACAGGAGGACAUACAAUCUGUCUCCAUUAUUUUAAAUGCACUUUCUGUAAAACCAUUUUGUGAAUGACAAUGAAUUAUGCCGAGAAUAAUUGAGGGAAUAUUGACUUGGCAAUCAAGUUAAUAAAAUCUCUAGGACUCUCAGUGCCUUAAGGAAAUAAACAUAUUGGAGUCCUAAUUACAUGCAAUCAAUUAAGGGCCUUUAUUAAGUAAAUACAAGGAAUAAGAGUCAUGAUGGGACUAUAAUUGAUGAGAUAUGAUUUGGGUUGAUAUCCUUUCCGAUAAUAGGGAGGAAUUGAUUGAAACCCUAGCUAUAUAACCUAGGGGCCGUCCCUGCUUCCAUACCGAUAGAAACUCACGAAAACUAUAAGCCUAUUUCGAUAGUAGAGUUCAUUCAGAGGUACUGGAAGUAGAAGACUGCUUCUACUUUGUUCGCAAGGAUCAAUGGCUUCACCUUCAUAACCAUGUCUUCCGAAUUCUACAUAUAAGUUCAAUAUAAUUAGUUGAUCUCUAUUUCAUAUUGAUUUGAUUUAUUCGUGAUCCUAAUGUCUUGUUGUUAUGAUUUCAGAAUAUGUCUUACACUUUCAACUUUCAAAAAGGCUUUUACCUCAUGAGUUGUCAUCUCACCCGUAUUCAAGUUUAAGGAGCUGGCUCUCUAUUUAACUAUCCAGCCCAACCGUCCAAGUAUCCAAGUCAAGCUCACAUUAUGUUUCUCAUUCUCGUUACACGUAAUGCCCAUAGGUAUUGGAAAUGAAAUUUCGCCCAAUCAACAAAAAAAACCAAUUUUUAAAAUGGGUAGUAGCUCCACGCCAGUUGUUCGACCAUAAACAUUAAGGGGUAUCGAGCAUUUUAGUACACCAGGGCAAGACCCUAUGGAACUUGAAUGCAAGAAAUCCUCUUUAUGUAUGUGUUUUCAGUCGGACGGCUAACAUGGAAUGGAAGUUGAAGAAUCUCUCCUUGCCUAGGUAGAUGUAACAUUGAAAUAAUUUUGUGCCAAAACAUCAAUGAAUCAUGACGCUAAUGUAACACAAGCAUAACUUUCUCUACAUACUAAAGAUUAUAUUACUUUUUCACUGUCCAUCUAUAACUCAGUAAAUACUAAGUGUGAAGAAGAACUACAUGGAUUUCAGAGUACAAAGGGUGUAACCAGAGAUGAGGGAGCUGGAGGCAAGGGCAAUAAAGGCAAAGAAGGACAAUGUGACGGAUGCCCGAGCCAUGUCCGGGAGCUUGUCUUUGCCCCAAUUCGACUCCCAGUCGUCGACCCGAAUCGCAGCCGAUGAAGACGCCGACAUCAAAAGGUACGUCAAAAUCUGCAACGCCAACCAAAACCAUUCAACUUAAGAUUUAUAUUAGGGUUGUUUUAUUGGCACCCCCACAAUCUUAUAAAUACACCCCACACUUAAAAUUGUCCUUUUAAAUUCCAAUUUUAGUCCUACUUCUACUGAAACCACCCCACCUGUUCAAAACGACAAUAACGUUUCAUCUUUUAAAUUCCAAUUUUAUUGGCACCUCAUCUUCCCCACCCUCUUCCCUCCCUAUCGUUCUGCGAGGCCUUUGACAGUUUGUAGAAACUGCAAUUUCAGACUCCAUACUCAAGGAUGUCUACUUGAUGGCUAUGGGCACAAAAACAUAUGGAAAGUGCUUCUGUAAUAUAACGUCGCAUAUGUUUGGGUAAAUAAAGUUAUCAAGACCAUCUUCUUAUAACAAUUGAAUUAUUGAGAGCAAUGAAAUUUGUUAAUGGUGGUCCAUGUUGUUUGGCUGUCACUAAGGGAAUACCUGGUGCAUUUGUGGUGCUGGGUUUUUUUUUUUUUUGUUUCUUUUUCAUAUUUAAAUAAGGAUAAAAGAGGUAGUUCAACAAGAAUUCAAAAAAUGUAACACCCGCCCCCUAAUUAUAAAGAUAUAUGUUUGUAAUUAUCCCUAAAUGUUUUAAAUAUAUCAAUUUCAUCCUUUUUGUCUACCAAAUCAGGAUCCAAAGCAUUGGAUCCCUUUCUUUCUAAAUUUGCCACGUGGCAGCACCCCAAGCAAUUUCUCCUUCUUCUCUCUCUGUACCCCCGUGAACCGCCUUCCUUCUUCUUCUUCUUUUUUUUGUCUGUCCCGUCUCUUUCUCCCUCUUGGAAUCUCUCAUUUCUCUCGCUCUCUUUAGUUAAUCACACACACCCACACACUGAGGCGCACGCAUGCUCGGAUGAGCCAUUUCCAUCAUCAUCUUGUCCUGCUCUCUCUCUCUCUCUCCCUCUCGUUCCCGCGAUGCCAGAAAACCAGAAAAGAAGCUCCGACGAGAUUUUUCAAUCUCUAGUUAGGUAAGCCUCUAAUUCUCUCUUUUCGUCCUUGAUUCUUGCGAGAUUGAGGUUUAAUUGGAGUUAUUUUGUGAUUUUUGGAAGUUUUUAGGACGAAUCGAACCCGGGUGUAAACACCCCCAUUUUCGGCGAGCCGUGGGUGUCGAGGGACUCUCCAGCCAUCUCCAGCCGUUCCACGACGAAAGGAAGGUAUAGAAAUACUCCCCCCGUCUUGCUCUUCGUUUUGAUACCUAGAUCAGGGUCUAGGUUUGUGUGUGGUGGUCAGCCGGAGCUGUUGAAGCUUCGGUGGUUGUGCUCCGGCGAGACCAGGCCUUCCAGGCCGGUUCCAAUGUCAAGCGGACCUUAGGCCCGUGUGGGGAGUUAGCCCAAAUCCUAACCCAUUUCCUUUUAAUUGUUUUUAGUUUUUUUUUAUUAGUUGUUUAGGACCUUAAGGCUUUCGGGCCAUUAGGAUUAGGGCAUGUAGCCCUGUAGCCCAACCCAAAAACCUUUUUAAGGUUUUUAUUUAAUUUUAUUUUCUGUUUUAGGAAAUAAAGCCUUGGGCCAAUUAUAAAGUAGGCUUUCAGCCAUUUUCCCAAAUCCCUUGAGCUUUAGUUAAAACCCAAAACCCCUAAGGCCCUUUCAGCCCAACCCAAUCCAAGCCCAAUCUAACUUUGACCUUGACCAGUUGACACUGACUGUUGACUUGGUCAACGGUCAGAGUUGAAUUUGACUUUGACCAGUCAACGGUCAACGUUGACUUUUUGAGUUGACUUUUUUGGGUUUCGUCCAGGACCUCUCCUAGGCUAAUUUCAACGUUCUAAACCCGUUUUUUAAGUCCGUUUUCCCAAAUUCAAUCGUUUGAAUAGAGUUUGACUAAAGGUACUCCUUUAUGUGAAUAGGUGCAAUUAUUAGCGGUGAUUCCACUAUACCUUUUUGGUACAGCUUUGCACCAUCGGUGUACGGUGAGUGGACCCCUUCUAAAAUGCAUGUUUUGAUAGUAGAAAUGCAUACAUGAAAGCAUGAUUUAACAAUUAUGUUUUAUGAGACGCUUUGAGAUAACAUGCUUACUAAGGCUAGUUUGAAUUAUUACUAUUUUUCCUAUAACCCAUGUUCUUAUAGAAUAUCCGAUGGAUGACGAUAUGAUAUUUAGAACAUGUUUCGAACACCUCUUUAUAGUAUAGAUGAUGGAUGACUUUAUACUAUGAAAUUGCUUUUCAAUAUAUAUAUAUGUUCAGUGGUUUUGUACUUACCUAGUCGUCAUUUCUGCUACGGGACGUAGGGAUAGAUUCUAGUCCAUCCCGGGCGACGGUUUGGUGUUGGCAUAGGGCCUGGAGUGUGUUUCCUCUGGCUAUUUAGCACAGGGACAGGGAGCCGACAUGGGGCCUGAAGUGUAUUUUCCUCUGACUGUCUGCUUAGAGACGGGGAGCCGGCAUGGGGCCUGGGGGUUAUCAGACAAUUCACUAGUGAUUAUUAUAUUUACAAGUUAUGAUUUGAGACAUUGCACAACAUUCUAGGUUUCGGAAAACCUAUGUUUAUCAUUAUAUAUGUGUUUUCAUAAAACCUGGGGGUUAGUAUGUUGAUAACUGUUUUAUUAUAUCUAUAUCAAAUUGGUCCACUCAUGUUUGUUUUGCGCCCCCUUCAGGACUUAGAAUCGAGGCGUACAAUCCCGGCAUCCAGGCAUUUCCGCAUCAGUAUCUUCGAGUCCUCUUGGUGUGGGACCCAUUCUUUUAUUCAUUAAAUUUUAUAUUAUUUCUUUUAGUAUUCUAGUUCGUCGUAUGCUCUGAACAUGUUCCUUAAAUGCAUAUUCUUUAUUCUUUUAUAUUUAUAAACCUUAUUUAUUCCUUAUUCUCAGCAUUUGCAUUCAAUUAAUGGCUUUCGUCACCCUUGGGUGUCGGCCAACACGUGCUUAUCUUGGUAUUCGAGGAAUAUCGGGAUCGAGGCGUGUCAAAAAAAAUGGGGUGUAUUCAUAAGAUUGUGGGGAUGUGAAUAAAAAAACCCGUUAAAUUACACGACAUAACAGAGGAUAGAGCAAGUAAACAGAAUGCAGAAUUCCAAUAUGCAUGCUUUAAGAUAUUCUAAACAGAGAAUCCUUUAACAAGAGGGAUCCCCAUUUUUCUAAAAAAAUGGGAACAUCCUCAUGACCGUUGGAUAUGACUUUAAUGAAAUUGUGUGGUUGAGAUUGUGUGGCCUGUGAUUUAAUCUCAACCACACAAUUUCAUUAAAGUCAAUCUAAAGGUCAGGAAGGUGUUCCCAUUUUUUUAGAAAAAUGGGGAUCCCUCUUGUUAAAGGGCAUGUUCUAAACAGUAUUUAACACAAAUGGAAAAGUAGAAGGGUGGUGAUAUCCACGUACUCUUUUUUAUCUUUCACACACACUCUCAAUUUUGAGUCGUUUGAUUGAAUGAAUUGAAGAGCAUUAAAGAACAAAAAUUAAUUGAGGAUGUGUGGGACGUAAAAAAAAAUGUGAAUAACACCGCCCAAGUAGAAUCAUUAAUGGAAAAAAAGGCUAGUUAAAAAGUAUCAAAAAGGUGGAAUAAAUAAAAAGGUCAAGAACCAAUUGAAGCAAAAGUAUCUACUGAUGCAUAACCAUAUAAACAAAAGGAAAACUAAUGAAAAUAAUUUGAAAAUUUUGAGUUUUAACGAUAAGGAAUAGUGAAGUGAAUAGUAUCAUAAUUGACUUUUUAGUGUAAAAAUAUUGUUUUUUGUAAGUAUCCUUAGAAGUAACUUUGUAAGUAUCUUAUCGUUUAUUAAAAAAUAACACAUAAAUAUAAAGAUCCGCAAUAUAUCAUAGGAUUUUGAAGAACUGUAAGUGGGAGUACAUCCGCUUUAACCAAUGCCGGUGUUAAAGCUAAAAAACACAGCAAUGAGCAAGGAGGGAGAAAACACACUGCAAACUAGCCAAACUAGAAGCACUAUAUAAAUACACAUAACAUUGCGCCCUUAUUACAAGACUUUCAAACAAGCGGGCAGCAGGAUACAAGAAUAUCACACACGAACAUUUUGCAAGCCUGAACUAGUACUCUCUAUUAUCUCAUGGGAUGGGAUACACAACCACCUUUCCAGGAGCUCUGGAGGUUUCAAGAUAGGCAAAUGCUUCAACAGUCUUCGAAAAUGGAUAUGGGCCGCUGGGAUCAAGCACCGGGUUCACCUUCCCACUCUCCAAGUAAGGCUUCAGUUUCUCUAAUACAGUUCCGGUUGAGGUCAGCAAAAAUAGGAAUGCCGGUGGCGCUACUGGACGUACAAUUGUCAAUACCUUCCCGCCUUCCUUCACCGCCUUCACUGCCCUGUCAGUCUCCCCUAUUUUUGUUAAUUUCAGAAACACAAAACAACAUCAGUCCUUGUGUUUGAUUUGUAUAAAAAAAAACAACGAUGAAGAUUCAAGAAUUAUACCAACUGCAUUAUAAACCACAUCAAAUUUCUCGGUCAG